GCAACACCAUGUAGAGCAUCAUAACAGAAUGAGAAUUUGGGGGAGGAUAGAAGCUUGCGAAUAGAUUCAAAAUCAAAUAUUGACUUCAUCAACUUCACAUAGUCACUAGCUGAAUCAAAAACCUCAACAUCAAAUUGUCCUUCAGGUCCGCCAAAGCUAGAAACACCUAUUGCGGAAAUAUCCACGUUAGGUAGAUCCUCAGCAAUUAAGUACUCCUUUAUGGAUUUUGUGUUUUCAUAGAUCUUAU
Molecule: unclassified non-coding RNA, 247 nt
Filed under: Hevea brasiliensis (rubber tree)
Lineage: Eukaryota; Viridiplantae; Streptophyta; Magnoliopsida; Malpighiales; Euphorbiaceae
Source: RNAcentral